RNAcentral lists this non-coding RNA (24 nucleotides) under Cricetulus griseus (Chinese hamster). Lineage: Eukaryota; Metazoa; Chordata; Mammalia; Rodentia; Cricetidae. The record is from RNAcentral.
AGGGGCUUGGAACUGUCUACUGAU